RNAcentral lists this ribosomal RNA (274 nucleotides) under uncultured bacterium. RNAcentral's name for it is "partial 16S ribosomal RNA". It matches the Rfam family "Bacterial small subunit ribosomal RNA", at positions 523 to 796 of the family's 1533-position model. The record is from RNAcentral.
AUACAGAGGGUGCGAGCGUUAAUCGGAAUUACGGGGCGUAAAGCGUGCGCAGGCGGUUUUGUAAGUCAGAUGUGAAAUCCCCGGGCUUAACCUGGGAACUGCGUUUGAAACUGCAAGGCUAGAGUGUGGCAGAGGGGGGUGGAAUUCCGCGUGUAGCAGUGAAAUGCGUAGAGAUGUGGAGGAACACCGAUGGCGAAGGCAGCCCCCUGGGUUAACACUGACGCUCAGGCACGAAAGCAUGGGGAGCAAACAGGAUUAGAUACCCGAGUAGUCC